Molecule: transfer RNA, 54 nt
Filed under: Platorchestia japonica
Lineage: Eukaryota; Metazoa; Arthropoda; Malacostraca; Amphipoda; Talitridae
Description: tRNA-Ser
Source: RNAcentral
UAAAACGAAAAUAAAGACUUCUAAUCUUUAAAUCAGUGUUUCACUUCGUUUUUA